Molecule: long non-coding RNA, 2930 nt
Filed under: Gallus gallus (chicken)
Lineage: Eukaryota; Metazoa; Chordata; Aves; Galliformes; Phasianidae
Source: RNAcentral
GGGAGCGGUACCCGAGCCCGGGAGAAGGACGGGAGGAAGGGGAAAGGGGAAGGGGAAGGAAAGAGAGAGAAAGAAAGAAGGUAGCGGCAGCGCGCACACUCUCACACCCCCGCUGGAAAAGUAAAUACAUCGCUGAAGCCAGAGGCGCGGGGGGGGGGGGGGAGGGGGGCGCUGGGCAAGCUGCCCUCGGGAGGGGCGGGGGGUAGACCGAAGGAAGCCAGCCAAGAGCGGGGACCACCCAAAAGGAAGGGGGACCCAUCCGGAGCCGGCGUCCCCACUCGCCCCCCUCCCCCCCAACCUCCGCGCCGCGGAAUCCCCUCCUCCCGGGAGCCGCGGCCUGGCCCCGAGGGACGACGGCGGCGGCCCCGCGGAGAGCCGAGGGGCGGCGGGGGCCUGGCCCGGCCUGAGGCAAACUUCGGCGGGGAGCGGCGUGCCGGCAGCCAGCCGCCUGCCCCGGAGCGGGGAGGGGGUGGGGGUGGCGGGAGGAGUUCCGCGAGCGGAGAAGCGGGAGGAGAAGGCGCGGGAGAGGAGGGAGCGGGGACACCGUCGCCUAGCCCCUCCGAGCCCAGCCCGCGGCAGCGAGCGGCGGCGCGGGGCAGCGGCUGCAGCUGGGAGAUGCGCAGCGCCGGCCACAAGUUCCCCGCCGCGCACCCGCGGCCGCCACCGGCACGGGGAGGGCUCAGGUUGCAGCAGGAACGGGCUUGGGAGCCGGGCGUGCCCGCACCGCCAGGCCGAGAGUACCCGCGCGCGGCACGGAGACGAAGCCGGAGAACGGAGGUGGCGGCUCGGACGGAGCGCAGGAGCGGCGCGGGGACCUGUUGACCGAGCGAGGCCAGCCCGUGCCGGAGCGGGACCCCGAGCCGAGGGCAGCCCGCCGCCGAGCCGAGCCGAGCCGGGAGCGGCGGGCAGCGAGGGGUCCGAUCGGCGCGAGGCGGGGAGGAGGCGCGGCGCCGGGGGAGCUCCAGGUGCUGCGCUCACGCUGCCCACAGGGCGGGCGAUCGUGUCCGUGCGGCCAUGUGCUCCGUGCGGAGCGCACAUAAAUAAGCGGGUGUGUGCGGCACAGGUAUGUUCAUACGAUUUGAUUUGUAUAUCGUGGAGCGUGUAAAGCUUUUCAAGGUAACUGCGGUGCAGAAGUAAUUACUUUAUUACCUCCGAAACGUUCUGCAGUUCGCAUUUAACAGUGCUCUGAAUAAUUACGAGUCAUUACGCAGCCGUGCGCUCUCCGAAGCCCGCGUACGGCGGCAUACCUGGCCGGGGCCGGUUCUGAUAAAUACCAGGCAGCGUUCCAUCGGUUUUCUUUAAAAACUCGCAGCGAGUUUAUCACUUAGUUAUACCUCAGCCCGCCGUCUCGCUGCACCGCGGCUGAGAUUCCAGCGGUGGCUGCCCCUGCCGCACCGUGAGACGCACUCGACAGCUGAUUGUACGGAUGCUCUCGGGAACGGCAGCGAGCGAGUCCUGCCGGCAGUGUGCCCUCAAUGCUGGCACGGAGUAACUGCGCGGGCGAAGCGGAGCCGUACCUCAGCUCAGCGCUCCCCUCGGCCGGACGGGCGCUGCUGUCGGCAUUGAUCACAAUAACGCGCACUGCCCGCCGCCCCCCGCGCUGCCGUUGUCAUGUGACGAGAGGGCGACAGCAGACCGAGAAAAGGCGUCGGGAGGCGUUCUUGGAGCGCCGUAUCCACGGGCUUUAUUAAAGCAGGAUUGUCUCCUCUUUAGAUGUGAGCUUUCGGUGAAUACGACGAGACUGCUUGUUUUCCCCCGCAAUGAUCACUGCGUUUCUCAAGCAGUUUGCACCUACUUACGGACCUCGCAUCUUCAGCCUUGGAUCUUAAAGGAACUGAUAACUCCUCUUCCAGAAAACUGUUCGGUAACAGGUUUCCUGCCCCGGGCUUUACAAGGAUCGCUCUUGUCUCAGAGCCACCGUGUACGUACGAUUCUUUUUUUUCACGGAUUUUGGUGGGGGUUUUUUUUGUUUUUUUUUUUUGUUUUUUUUUUUGUUUUUUGUUUUUUGUUUUUUGUUUUUUUUUUUUGCGGGGGGUGGGGGAGGGCGUUAUAUAUUUUUCUGUUACCUUUUCUGCCUGUGAAGUAAUCAGGGAGAACGGCGGGAGGCUCCAUAAAUAUGCAAAUUGGCGCCAGAUAACUGGUUUCGCUGGUUCCGCCUUGGGACUCCCGCCGGGCGGCUCCGCGGGGGAGAUUGUCGCCCCCGGCCCCACGACCCGCCCCCUCUCCCCCCUCCCCGCGCCGGGCACCGCUCUCCGAGCGCGGUCCUUCCCCUCUCCCCGCCGCUGCCGCAGCUCUUCGACGCGUGCCCGCGCCUUCCAGCUCCCUGGCAGCGUCCCGAAGGAGCACCGCGUCUCGUGGCUGCUGGGUGUCACGGGGCAAAAAGUGCGGUAGGCUGAACCGUGCUCGGGCCCUUAUCCUUUCUAACUCGGCAUCCGAAGGAUUAAAAGCAGUAACUGGCUUCCGAAUUGUAAAAUGUUAAAAUGAAAGUUUGAUUCGUGGUUAAACACUCGCGGGAGCGCAUCCUUUGUGGAUUCUGAUUUGACUCUGCUGUUAAACCGACAUCGGUACUGCGCUGACGCUUUAAUUAAUAAAAGUGGUUAGAGUCCUCUCUGUCAUCUCGUUGCUUACCAGCCUCCACACAAACCGUUUCAAGAUUCUGUCUAAAUAGGAGAAUGAGAAGGGAAACAUAAGCCGCCAAAGUUACUUUGAAGGCAGAGAAGCCAGGCGGCUGACACUGAGAGGCAGGGUUUGGUCUGCAGCUCUCCGCAAUCGUCGCAGCUCCCCGCCGCGGAAGCCCGCCCGGCAGCCCGUGCUGCGACGGCACUGCGCUCGCGGAGCGCAGAGGGUGGGAGGGGAGAGGCGCUGCCACUGCCCCCGAGAUUCCCUGUGCCUGUGGAGCCGGGCCUCGCUGGGAAGGAGACGGGGGCGGC